RNAcentral lists this small RNA (536 nucleotides) under Pan troglodytes (chimpanzee). RNAcentral describes it as "processed transcript". Lineage: Eukaryota; Metazoa; Chordata; Mammalia; Primates; Hominidae. The record is from RNAcentral.
AGUCGGUGCUCCGGGGAGGUCACCUGGCGAGGAGGUAGGCUUGGGUGCUGGAGAAACCGGGGUAGAUGGGAUGUCAGCUCAGGCUGGAGACCAUGCGUUGGGGAUCGGCGCUGGGUGGGUCAAUGGGGUCGCCGCAUCCUCAUCACUUCCCAGUUGGCACCGAAAGCUUGGCUCACUUUCCCACUGAGUGAGGUGUUCUGCACAGAAUUGAAGGGCAGAGAAACCCCCAAAGGCCCUGAGCCCUCUGUAUGUACACACAUCGGCACAACCCCCUCCAGCUGAUCUGGAAGCCCCGUGGCUUUACCGGGCUGUUGGUCUUCUCAUGCCUCAAAGAUGGGGUGGAAGGCCAGUAGGAGGGCAGACCAGUGUGGAUGGGGAGUCUGUGAGUGCUCUGGCAAGUGCACCGGGAUGAAACUGGAGGGAGGGACCCUUCAGUGGUGUCUGAUUGAUACAUAGAUGAUGAUCUUAGCUUCUUCUGUGUCUCUUGAAGUGCCAACAAGAGGAAUAACUGAAUAAAUUGGUUGCUGUUACUAAGG